This 336-nucleotide unclassified non-coding RNA is filed under the name fungal sp. RNAcentral's name for it is "partial internal transcribed spacer region". The stretch from base 1 to 46 matches the Rfam family "Eukaryotic small subunit ribosomal RNA", at positions 1786 to 1831 of the family's 1831-position model. The record is from RNAcentral. Lineage: Eukaryota; Fungi.
AAGUCGUAACAAGGUAACCGUAGGUGAACCUGCGGUUGGAUCAUUAUUUUAAACUUAAUAUACUUUUGGUUGUCCUUUACUCUUCAAAAUGGUUAAAAAUUUUGAAGUUUUUUUUAAGGCAACUAAAAAACCCCUUUUAUAACUUUGUUUCGAAAGAGACAAAUGAAAUUUUGUGGUAUUUUUAACUUACGUUAUAUUCUAAUCUUGAAUUCUCUUUUAGGGGGGGAUUCAAGUUUAGGAUUGUUUAUCAAAAACAUUUUUUUUUUUAUGAAUUUUUUUUUUUACAUGAUUUAUAUAAUCAAAUAACAACUUUUGACAAUGGAUCUCUUGGCUCUC